RNAcentral lists this ribosomal RNA (548 nucleotides) under uncultured bacterium. RNAcentral's name for it is "partial 16S ribosomal RNA". It matches the Rfam family "Bacterial small subunit ribosomal RNA", at positions 355 to 895 of the family's 1533-position model. The record is from RNAcentral.
UGGGGAAUAUUGCACAAUGGGCGCAAGCCUGAUGCAGCCAUGCCGCGUGUGUGAAGAAGGCCUUCGGUUGUAAAGCACUUUCAGCGAGGAGGAAGGUGGUGAACUUAAUACGUUCAUCAAUUGACGUUACUCGCAGAAGAAGCACCGGCUAACUCCGUGCCAGCAGCCGCGGUAAUACGGAGGGUGCAAGCGUUAAUCGGAAUUACUGGGCGUAAAGCGCACGCAGGCGGUUUGUUAAGUCAGAUGUGAAAUCCCCGGGCUCAACCUGGGAACUGCAUUUGAAACUGGCAAGCUAGAGUCUCGUAGAGGGGGUAGAAUUCCAGGUGUAGCGGUGAAAUGCGUAGAGAUCUGGAGGAAUACCGGUGGCGAAGGCGGCCCCCUGGACGAAGACUGACGCUCAGGUGCGAAAGCGUGGGGAGCAAAACAGGAUUAGAUACCCUGGUAGUCCACGCUGUAAACGAUGUCGAUUUUGGAGGUUGUGCCCUUGAGGCGUGGCUUCCGGAGCUAACGCGUUAAAUCGACCGCCUGGGGAGUACGGCCGCAAGGUU